This 253-nucleotide ribosomal RNA is filed under the name uncultured bacterium. RNAcentral describes it as "partial 16S ribosomal RNA". It matches the Rfam family "Bacterial small subunit ribosomal RNA", at positions 524 to 776 of the family's 1533-position model. The record is from RNAcentral.
UACGUAGGGUGCGAGCGUUGUCCGGAAUUAUUGGGCGUAAAGAGCUCGUAGGCGGUUUGUCGCGUCUGCUGUGAAAACUCAAGGCUUAACCCUGGGCCUGCAGUGGGUACGGGCAGACUAGAGUGCGGUAGGGGUGAUCGGAAUUCCUGGUGUAGCGGUGGAAUGCGCAGAUAUCAGGAGGAACACCGGUGGCGAAGGCAGCUCACUGGGCCGGUACUGACGCUGAGGCGCGAAAGCGUGGGGAGCGAACAGG